CAGUCGCCGCGGGAAUACGAAGGGUGCAAGCGUUACUCGGAAUUACUGGGCGUAAAGCGUGCGUAGGUGGUGGUUUAAGUCCGUUGUGAAAGCCCUGGGCUCAACCUGGGAAUUGCAGUGGAUACUGGGUCACUAGAGUGUGGUAGAGGAUAGUGGAAUUUCCGGUGUAGCAGUGAAAUGCGUAGAGAUCGGAAGGAACAUCUGUGGUGAAGGCGACUAUCUGGGCCAACACUGACACUGAGGCACGGAAGCGUGGGGAGCAAACAGGAUUAGAUACCCCGGUAGUCCCUGUCUCUUAUAA
Molecule: ribosomal RNA, 301 nt
Filed under: uncultured bacterium
Lineage: Bacteria
Description: partial 16S ribosomal RNA
Rfam family: Bacterial small subunit ribosomal RNA
Source: RNAcentral